This 390-nucleotide long non-coding RNA is filed under the name Homo sapiens (human). RNAcentral describes it as "HSALNT0010637". The record is from RNAcentral. Lineage: Eukaryota; Metazoa; Chordata; Mammalia; Primates; Hominidae.
AGGUGGCGACAGACAAAGUUGCAGAAAAGCUGAGCUCUACUCUCUCAUGGGUGAAGAACACAGUAUCGCAUACAGUCAGUCAGAUGGCCAGUCAGGUGGCAAGUCCAUCUACUUCAUUACAUACCACAUCCUCAUCUACCACACUAUCAACACCAGCCCUUUCACCAUCUUCCCCAUCACAGUUGAGUCCAGACGACUUAGAACUCCUGGCUAAACUGGAAGAACAGAAUAGAUUGUUAGAAACGGAUAGUAAGUCUUUAAGAUCUGUAAAUGGGUCAAGAAGAAACAGUGGCUCUUCUCUUGUGUCGAGUUCAUCAGCCUCUAGCAACCUCAGUCACCUUGAAGAAGAUUCUUGGAUUCUUUGGGGAAGAAUUGUUAAUGAAUGGGAAG